GACGAACGCUGGCGGCGUGCCUAAUACAUGCAAGUUGAGCGCUGAAGGUUGGUACUUGUACCGACUGGAUGAGCAGCGAACGGGUGAGUAACGCGUGGGGAAUCUGCCUUUGAGCGGGGGACAACAUUUGGAAACGAAUGCUAAUACCGCAUAAAAACUUUAAACACAAGUUUUAAGUUUGAAAGAUGCAAUUGCAUCACUCAAAGAUGAUCCCGCGUUGUAUUAGCUAGUUGGUGAGGUAAAGGCUCACCAAGGCGAUGAUACAUAGCCGACCUGAGAGGGUGAUCGGCCACAUUGGGACUGAGACACGGCCCAAACUCCUACGGGAGGCAGCAGUAGGGAAUCUUAGGCAAGGGACGAAAGUCUGACCGAGCAACGCCGCGUGAGUGAAGAAGGUUGUCGGAUCGUAAAACUCUGUUGGUAGAGAAGAACGUUGGUGAGAGUGGAAAGCUCAUCAAGUGACGGUAACUACCCAGAAAGGGACGGCUAACUACGUG
RNAcentral lists this ribosomal RNA (497 nucleotides) under uncultured bacterium. RNAcentral's name for it is "partial 16S ribosomal RNA". It matches the Rfam family "Bacterial small subunit ribosomal RNA", at positions 28 to 507 of the family's 1533-position model. The record is from RNAcentral.